This 467-nucleotide ribosomal RNA is filed under the name uncultured bacterium. RNAcentral's name for it is "partial 16S ribosomal RNA". It matches the Rfam family "Bacterial small subunit ribosomal RNA", at positions 28 to 523 of the family's 1533-position model. The record is from RNAcentral.
GAUGAAUGCUGGCGGCGUGCCUAACACAUGCAAGUCGAGCGGCAGCGCGAGUAGUUUACUACUUGGCGGCGAGCGGCGGACGGAUGAGUAACGCGUGGGAACGUGCCCCAAAGUGAGGGAUAACGCACCGAAAGGUGUGCUAAUACCGCAUAUGAUCUUCGGAUUCAAGAAUUUAUUCGCUUUGGGAGCGGCCCGCGUCGGAUUAGGUAGUUGGUAGGGUAAUGGCCUACCAAGCCGACGAUCCGUAGCUGGUCUGAGAGGAUGACCAGCCAGACUGGAACUGAGACACGGUCCAGACUCCUACGGGAGGCAGCAGUGAGGAAUCUUCCACAAUGGGCGAAAGCCUGAUGGAGCAACGCCGCGUGCAGGAUGAAGGCCUUCGGGUUGUAAACUGCUUUUAUAAGUGAAGAAUAUGACGGUAACUUAUGAAUAAGCACCGGCUAACUACGUGCCAGCAGCCGCCGCCG